RNAcentral lists this long non-coding RNA (289 nucleotides) under Brassica napus (rape). Its description in RNAcentral is "long non-coding RNA (BNAP_LNC017847)". The record is from RNAcentral. Lineage: Eukaryota; Viridiplantae; Streptophyta; Magnoliopsida; Brassicales; Brassicaceae.
CUAGAAUCUCUUAAUCUCUUUAAUCUUUUCAUCUGAUUAUCCCUGAUUGGUUGAAUCAUGCUCUAAUACACAAAAGUGUAUAAAAUUAAGCUUCUUACAUCGCGAUUCAUCCUGGUUUGAUUCGAUUGACAAAGAAGCUGUCAUAUUCCCAAACAAGAAAACUGGGAUCACCUGAUUUGAAAAAAGGGGAGAGUGUGAUUUCGUUUUUCAUAAAAUCUGGGUGUUCUUGAGUGUUCUUGAGGGUUCUUGAGUGUUCUUGGUGUUCUUGAGUUCUGGUCUUUAUUAUCUG